RNAcentral lists this ribosomal RNA (369 nucleotides) under uncultured bacterium. RNAcentral's name for it is "bacterial SSU rRNA". It matches the Rfam family "Bacterial small subunit ribosomal RNA", at positions 37 to 390 of the family's 1533-position model. The record is from RNAcentral.
AAAAUGGCGGCGUGCUUAAUUUUUCCCAGUCGCGUGCGCAGAUUCGCGUAGCAAUACGUGGAUGGGCGCACGGACGCACGGGAGCGUAACACGUGGGCAACUUGCCCUCNGAUGGGGAAUAACCCCGCGAAAGCGGGGCUAAUACCGCAUAACAUUCCUUGGACGAUGGUUCGAGGAAUCUAAGCAUCAAUGCGUCGGAGGAGGGGCCCGCGGUCGAUUAGCUAGUUGGUGAGGUAAUGGCUCACCAAGGCAAUGAUCGGUAGCUGGUCUGAGAGGAUGAUCAGCCACACUGGAACUGAGACACGGUUCCACACUCCUACGGGAGGCAGCANUGGGUGAAUCUUGCACAAUGGGCGAAAGCCUGAUGCA